RNAcentral lists this ribosomal RNA (642 nucleotides) under uncultured Lachnospiraceae bacterium. Its description in RNAcentral is "bacterial SSU rRNA". It matches the Rfam family "Bacterial small subunit ribosomal RNA", at positions 70 to 719 of the family's 1533-position model. The record is from RNAcentral. Lineage: Bacteria; Bacillati; Bacillota; Clostridia; Lachnospirales; Lachnospiraceae.
UUUCAUUGAGACUUCGGUGGAUUUGAUCUAUUUCUAGUGGCGGACGGGUGAGUAACGCGUGGGUAACCUGCCUUAUACAGGGGGAUAACAGUCAGAAAUGGCUGCUAAUACCGCAUAAGCGCACAGAGCUGCAUGGCUCAGUGUGAAAAACUCCGGUGGUAUAAGAUGGACCCGCGUUGGAUUAGCUUGUUGGUGGGGUAACGGCCCACCAAGGCGACGAUCCAUAGCCGGCCUGAGAGGGUGAACGGCCACAUUGGGACUGAGACACGGCCCAGACUCCUACGGGAGGCAGCAGUGGGGAAUAUUGCACAAUGGGGGAAACCCUGAUGCAGCGACGCCGCGUGAAGGAAGAAGUAUCUCGGUAUGUAAACUUCUAUCAGCAGGGAAGAUAGUGACGGUACCUGACUAAGAAGCCCCGGCUAACUACGUGCCAGCAGCCGCGGUAAUACGUAGGGGGCAAGCGUUAUCCGGAUUUACUGGGUGUAAAGGGAGCGUAGACGGUGUGGCAAGUCUGAUGUGAAAGGCAUGGGCUCAACCUGUGGACUGCAUUGGAAACUGUCAUACUUGAGUGCCGGAGGGGUAAGCGGAAUUCCUAGUGUAGCGGUGAAAUGCGUAGAUAUUAGGAGGAACACCAGUGGCGAA